Molecule: ribosomal RNA, 346 nt
Filed under: Neisseria weaveri
Lineage: Bacteria; Pseudomonadati; Pseudomonadota; Betaproteobacteria; Neisseriales; Neisseriaceae
Description: bacterial SSU rRNA
Rfam family: Bacterial small subunit ribosomal RNA
Source: RNAcentral
AUGGGCGCAGCCUGAUCCAGCCUGCCGCGUGUCUGAAGAAGGCCUUCGGGUUGUAAAGGACUUUUGUCAGGGAAGAAAAGGUUGUGGCUAAUAUCCAUGACUGAUGACGGUACCUGAAGAAUAAGCACCGGCUAACUACGUGCCAGCAGCCGCGGUAAUACGUAGGGUGCGAGCGUUAAUCGGAAUUACUGGGCGUAAAGCGAGCCGCAGACGGUUACUUAAGCAGGAUGUGAAAUCCCCGGGCUCAACCUGGGAACUGCGUUCUGAACUGGGUGACUAGAGUAUGUCAGAGGGGGGUAGAAUUCCACGUGUAGCAGUGAAAUGCGUAGAGAUGUGGAGGAAUACC